GCCGGAAUAGCUCAGKUGGUAGAGCAGAGGACUGAAAAUC
RNAcentral lists this transfer RNA (40 nucleotides) under Sciuro-hypnum brotheri. RNAcentral describes it as "partial tRNA-Phe". Lineage: Eukaryota; Viridiplantae; Streptophyta; Bryopsida; Hypnales; Brachytheciaceae. The record is from RNAcentral.